This 413-nucleotide unclassified non-coding RNA is filed under the name soil metagenome. RNAcentral describes it as "partial contains 5.8S ribosomal RNA, internal transcribed spacer 2, and large subunit ribosomal RNA". The stretch from base 1 to 120 matches the Rfam family "5.8S ribosomal RNA", at positions 35 to 154 of the family's 154-position model. The record is from RNAcentral.
GAUGAAGAACGUAGCGAAAUGCGAUAAGUAAUGUGAAUUGCAGAAUUCAGUGAAUCAUCGAAUCUUUGAACGCACCUUGCGCUCUUUGGUAUUCCGAAGAGCAUGCCUGUUUGAGUGUCAUGAAAAUAUCAAGCUUGACUUGGGUUUUGUGCUCUAGUCUCGGCUUGGAAUUGGGUGCUUGCCGCUUUUACGAGCGGCUCACCUUAAAUGUAUUAGCUGGAUCUGUCUUUGAGACUUGGUUUGACUUGGCGUAAUAAGUAUUUCGCUAAGGACAUUCUUCGGAGUGGCCUCGUUUCUAGGACGCUUGUCCGCUUUCCAAUACAAGUUCCACCUCGUGGACAUGACUUUUUAUUAUCUGGCCUCAAAUCAGGUAGGACUACCCGCUGAACUUAAGCAUAUCAAUAAGCGGAGGA